Molecule: ribosomal RNA, 466 nt
Filed under: uncultured bacterium
Lineage: Bacteria
Description: bacterial SSU rRNA
Rfam family: Bacterial small subunit ribosomal RNA
Source: RNAcentral
ACAUGCAAGUCGAACGGUUAGCACAGGAGAGCUUGCUCUCUGGGUGACGAGUGGCGGACGGGUGAGUAAUGCAUGGGGAGCUGCCCAAUCGAGGGGGAUACCAGCUGGAAACGGCUGCUAAUACCGCAUACGCCCUGAGGGGGAAAGGUGGGGACCUUCGGGCCUACCGCGAUUGGAUGCACCCAUGUGGGAUUAGCUAGUUGGUUAGGUAAAGGCUGACCAAGGCGACGAUCGGUAGCUGGUCUGAGAGGAUGAUCAGCCACACUGGAACUGAGACACGGUCCAGACUCCUACGGGAGGCAGCAGUGGGGAAUAUUGGACAAUGGGCGAAAGCCUGAUCCAGCCAUGCCGCGUGAGUGAAGAAGGCCUUCGGGUUGUAAAGCUCUUUCGGCUGGGAAGAAAUCGCACAGGCUAAUACUCUGUGUGGAUGACGGUACCAGCACAAGAAGCACCGGCUAACUACGUG